AGGAAGGAAGGAAGGAAGGAAGGAAGGAAGGAAGGAAGGAAGGAAGGAAGAGAAAGUCAAGUACCAGCUGUCCCUCCACUUUAGUCUUGGCUUGUAGCCUUUGCAAGUUCAAUCAUUUCCUGUCAGGGUGGUAGGUGACUUUGAUGCCAUUUUUAUUCUUGUUUCAGGCACUCUACAACAUCACCGAAAAUGCAUGCUAAACUGUUUGGAAGCAAGCACACAGCCCUGCUUUAGUGCUGCUACAUCCUGUGGGGUUCUUGUUUCUCCCUCUCAUUAAACUCCUCUGUGACUAAGUGUUCUGGCCCACAUGAGUCAAUGUGGUGCUGUACAGCAAAUCUCCGAAAGUUGCCCAUUUCCUUUCUGCUCCAUGAUUUCCAACUGUGUGUUGGCUCAAAUUGCCCUCCAAGUCAGCAACAAGCUUUUCUCCAGGGAGAAGCUCUCUGAUGAUCUUGUCUUGGGGCCAGCACACCACUUUGGUUGAAUGCCAACGUCAAACGGGGAGAGGAUAAGUCUGUGAUUGGUCCAUCCCUCUUCCUCACAUGUGUCCUUCUUCACUCUCACAUCAUGUCUGUCUCUUCCCCUCGUGAUGACACACGCGGUCUAUUAAAUACCAGUGUUUGCUGCAAGGGUGCAGCAGCGAAGUUUUAUUGCAUUUAGGUAAAGGGAAGGCAGUGUUGGUAAUGAGGCAUGCAUGACGUGCAGAAGUCUUCAGUAUCUAGUGGCCAUUGCUGUUGCUGUUGCUGACUCCGUUACUUGCAAGGAUUCCCUGCCAUCUGUUAUGCCAGCUGGUCAAAGGCCAAGGUCGGGUAAUUUUCUGUUUUUUUUUUUUAUUUUCCAAGAUUUUUUCCAUGGUUACAGGAUUCACUUUCUCUCCCUCUCCUCUUCCCUCCCCCCUCCCAGAGCUGACAAACAGUUCCACAGGGUUAUGCAAGCAUUAUCAUUCACUAUCAGGCAGUUUUCAAAGAAGAAAAUACAAAUAUUCCCAACUCUAGAACAAUUCUCCCAAACCCUACUAAGCAGGGAAAUGCCAAUUAAGGCAGCUGCAAGGAUCCAGAAGGAACAUGGCGGUCAUCUGUCUGAGGGCGAUUUUUUUUUCAGCAAAGAGGCAUGCUAGUGCACUGUUGGAACUGUGUUCCAGAAGAUUCGGAGCCGUGUGUGAUCCUGUUGCUAAGCCUGUGCCACAAAGAGCUCAAAGGAAGACAAGAGGGACCCACAUGCAUAAAGAUAUGUACAACAGCUGUCCUAGUGGGGAAUGGUGAAAGGAAUUUCUAGGCAAGUCGGCAAGCUAGCUGUGGAAAAGGUCAUUUCUAAAGCAGUAUCUUCAAGGACCAGCUCACCUUCCUGCAGAAAUGGAAGCCGAGGAAGCCCUAUGGGGACAUAGCAUGGACUGUUUCCUGUUCAACUUAGGUCUAGGGAUAGGCAAGGUUGACCUUGCUUAAGCUUUCUGGACAAUAGUUUUAAUAAGGGAUAAAGUGUGGCUCUAGAACCAUGUUGGCAAACCUUUGAUAUGUGUGCCGGAGGGUGCCAGAGGGGGCUGCUCCCCUCCCCAUGUCCACUGUUGCUGGGAGCCAUCAGGCCAUGACACCUUGACAAAGUCACUCAUGGUAGCUAAGGAGGUCACAGAGUGGCCCUUGGCAAGAUAUGACUGCCCACUCAGUCCCCCUUGCAUUACCUCUCUCAUUAACAUCUCUUACCUAUGGAAUCGACAUGAUUGCUAUUCCCCUCUAACCUCAGAAGGAAUAAUGCAAGAGCAAAAUACCUGUGCUGUUUCCCCAAAAUAUCAGACCCUCAAACCCAAUCCCAAAAGACUCCCGUGGGUUAACUUUUACUUAGGUACAUAACUCUGUAAAACUGCAGCUACAAGCCAAGCCCCAAACUUUCCCACUCACAGAAACUGAUUCUUCUGAAGCCAGCACACAAAUCGAUCAUAAAGGUCCAUACAAAACGUGCAGGUACAACAAACUCCAUCAUGCCUCAGUGAUUCAAUUCUUCCCCUUGAGAAACUCUCUAGUAAACCCUGAGAAAUGAUCAGUCUAAGAUUAAAUCUGAAUUGUGUUCUCAGUACCUCUCAACCUCAAUGGUAUGAUUGUUGAAUUGUCUUUAAGAACUUCUGAUUGAUUAUUUCUUUUUUAUUAAAAGUAAUAAGUAAAUUUCCUUGAUUGAUUGUAAGCUCCUCACAGGGUGAUGAGAAAAUUAAGCCACCUGUGAUUGAACUCAUUUCUCUUGUGUGAAACCUUUAUUCUUUCAAGAAUCUGUAAUCAUAAUACAAGAAUAUUAGAAUGUUAAUUGAGUGAUUUGUUAAAACUUAAUGUAUCACUUUUCCAAUUAUCUCUAUUUAGAUAUGUGUGUUAGGUAAUGUAUCUGUGUGCCAAGAAAAUGGUUAUAAAAAUAAACACCAGGCCUGGGGAUGGUGAAGCAGCUAUCAGGUGCAAAGCAUGACCAUGGCCAUAAAAUAUA
Monodelphis domestica (gray short-tailed opossum) is the source of this 2457-nucleotide non-coding RNA. The record is from RefSeq and is a predicted model, not a curated record. Lineage: Eukaryota; Metazoa; Chordata; Mammalia; Didelphimorphia; Didelphidae.